AUAUUGGGCGCUUUUUCAAAUCCCGCCGAUUUACGGCUGAUUUGUUAUGACGUCGUUGUUAGUGUUUCUUCAAGUGAGCAAAGAUAUAGAAUUUUAUAAAUUGUAAAUUUCCAAUAAUUCCAAUGGCUUUACCAGGACCAUCUCCAACCUCCAACUCUCGCCAGGGAACUCAUGGUUUAAAACAGAUUGAUUUGGACCAAAUUUGGGGUGACUUGAAAGAUGGCAUUGAGCAAGUUUAUACAAAUAAACACCAAAAUAUGUCAAAGACUAGAUAUAUGGAAUUAUAUACUCAUGUUUAUGAUUAUUGUACAAGUGUUCACCAGUCAGGACAACGAGCAACGGGAACAAAAGGAAAAAAGGGACAUCCUCCUGGUGGUGCUCAGUUUGUUGGUUUUGAGUUAUAUAAAAGGUUAAAGGACUUCUUGAAGAAUUAUUUACUCAAUUUACUAAAGGUAUGAGUACUUACAGUAUUUUUUUAUUUCAAUAAAAUAACCGUAAGGCAGGGGUGGGCAACCCAUGACCCUCAGGCUGCAUGCAGCCCACAUUGCAUAAAAUAUGAAUAACUAUAUCAA
Molecule: long non-coding RNA, 572 nt
Filed under: Centruroides sculpturatus (bark scorpion)
Lineage: Eukaryota; Metazoa; Arthropoda; Arachnida; Scorpiones; Buthidae
Description: uncharacterized LOC111640392, transcript variant X2
Source: RNAcentral